ACUCCUACGGGAGGCAGCAGUAGGGAAUCUUCCGCAAUGGACGAAAGUCUGACGGAGCAACGCCGCGUGAGUGAUGAAGGUUUUCGGAUCGUAAAACUCUGUUGUUAGGGAAGAACAAGUACCGUUCGAAUAGGGCGGCACCUUGACGGUACCUAACCAGAAAGCCACGGCUAACUACGUGCCAGCAGCCGCGGUAAUACGUAGGUGGCAAGCGUUAUCCGGAAUUAUUGGGCGUAAAGCGCGCGCAGGCGGUUUCUUAAGUCUGAUGUGAAAGCCCCCGGCUCAACCGGGGAGGGUCAUUGGAAACUGGGGAACUUGAGUGCAGAAGAGGAGAGUGGAAUUCCACGUGUAGCGGUGAAAUGCGUAGAGAUAUGGAGGAACACCAGUGGCGAAGGCGACUUUCUGGUCUGUAACUGACACUGAGGCGCGAAAGCGUGGGGAGCAAACAGGAUUAGAUACCCUGGUAGUCAA
Molecule: ribosomal RNA, 471 nt
Filed under: uncultured Bacillus sp.
Lineage: Bacteria; Bacillati; Bacillota; Bacilli; Caryophanales; Bacillaceae
Description: bacterial SSU rRNA
Rfam family: Bacterial small subunit ribosomal RNA
Source: RNAcentral